Scophthalmus maximus (turbot) is the source of this 543-nucleotide long non-coding RNA. RefSeq lists it as uncharacterized. The transcript has 4 exons. Lineage: Eukaryota; Metazoa; Chordata; Actinopteri; Pleuronectiformes; Scophthalmidae. The record is from RefSeq and is a predicted model, not a curated record.
GCAUUGGUCAAGCUGGGUGAUUGACACUUCUAUAGAACCGUCAGAGCCAGUAGAAUCGACGGACGGCAUCAAAACCCCUCCCAAGGACACCAUUCGCUAUCUUGACAUGCGACUUCCGCCUUUGUAGUCGAAGAAGGACGGACCAGGCGGAUUAACAUCUUGAAAUGACGAGCGGCUCUUUGUGCUAAGCUAACGGGAAUCGGAUUUAUGGAUGAAAACACAACUUUUCCCGGAAAUACUUCGACGGGGUUGUGGACUGCCCUGCUCUGAGGACCAUUCAAUAUCAGACACAAGCCAUGGGAGAUAAAGCCAGAGGAAGGGAUGACCUCGCCCGCAGAGGAACAGGAGUAAUUGGCGCACACACCGAGAGGGAGAGGAGCGGCGCGGCUGCAGCCACAGGACUCGGGAGUCUCACCCGUGACCUGCACCCCGAUGCGGAAGUAGACGUCGGAGUUGCUGAGGUACCUCUCCACCAGGACGUAGUACCAUUGCUCCCAGGCGGGGACAGGCGUGACCAGCUCACAAGGGUUCCACUCCCUGCAG